This 92-nucleotide transfer RNA is filed under the name Felis catus (domestic cat). It matches the Rfam family "tRNA". Rfam says of the family: Transfer RNA (tRNA) molecules are approximately 80 nucleotides in length. Their secondary structure includes four short double-helical elements and three loops (D, anti-codon, and T loops). RNAcentral also lists the same sequence under 1 other name. The record is from Rfam by way of RNAcentral. Lineage: Eukaryota; Metazoa; Chordata; Mammalia; Carnivora; Felidae.
GCCUAGGUGGCUGAGUUGGUUAAGCAUCUGGCUCUUGAUUUCAGCUCAGGUCAUGACCUCACAGUGCGUGGGUUCGAGUCCCACAUCGGGCU